GACGAACGCUGGCGGCGUGCCUAAUACAUGCAAGUCGAACGCUGAAGGAGGAGCUUGCUCUUCUGGAUGAGUUGCGAACGGGUGAGUAACGCGUAGGUAACCUGCCUGGUAGCGGGGGAUAACUAUUGGAAACGAUAGCUAAUACCGCAUAACAGUAGAUGUUGCAUGACAUUUGCUUAAAAGGUGCAAUUGCACCACUACCAGAUGGACCUGCGUUGUAUUAGCUAGUUGGUGGGGUAACGGCUCACCAAGGCGACGAUACAUAGCCGACCUGAGAGGGGGAUCGGCCACACUGGGACUGAGACACGGCCCAGACUCCUACGGGAGGCAGCAGUAGGGAAUCUUCGGCAAUGGACGGAAGUCUGACCGAGCAACGCCGCGUGAGUGAAGAAGGGUGUCGGAUCGUAAAGCUCGGUUGUAAGAGAAGAACGAGUGUGAGAGUGGAAAGUUCACACUGUGACGGUAGCUUACCAGAAAGGGACGGCUAACUACGUG
This 495-nucleotide ribosomal RNA is filed under the name uncultured bacterium. Its description in RNAcentral is "partial 16S ribosomal RNA". It matches the Rfam family "Bacterial small subunit ribosomal RNA", at positions 28 to 507 of the family's 1533-position model. The record is from RNAcentral.